This 497-nucleotide ribosomal RNA is filed under the name uncultured bacterium. RNAcentral's name for it is "partial 16S ribosomal RNA". It matches the Rfam family "Bacterial small subunit ribosomal RNA", at positions 28 to 507 of the family's 1533-position model. The record is from RNAcentral.
GAUGAACGCUGGCGGCGUGCCUAAUACAUGCAAGUCGAGCGAACGGACGAGAAGUUUGCUUCUCUGAUGUUAGCGGCGGACGGGAGAGUAACAUGUGUAUAACCUACCUAUCAGACUGGGAUAAUUACGGGAAACCGGAUCUUAUACCGGAUGAUAUUUUGCACCGCAUUGUUCAAAAGUGAAAGUCGGUCUUUCUGUCACUAAUAGAUGGAUCCGCGCUGCAUUAGCUAGUUGGUAAGGUAACGGCUUACCAAGGCUACGAUGCAUAGCCGACCUGAGAGCGUGGUUGGCCACACGGGAACUGAGACAGGGUCCAGGCUCCUACGGUAGGCAGCAGUAGGGAAUCUUACGCAAUGGGCGAGAGCCUGACGGAGCAACGCCGCGUGAGUGAUGAAGGUCUUCGGAUCGGAAAACUCUGUUAUUAGUGGAGAACAUAUGUGUAAGUAACUGUGCAGAUCUUGACGGUACCUAGUCAAAAAGCCACGGCUAACUACGUG